AAAAUAAAACAAAAUGUGAAAAUGACGUAGAACUACUUUUAUAAGAAACAUUAAACCUAUUAGACGGAUACAUGGGUAAAGAGCUAAGUUUGGUUUUAACAUUAUAGUAUGGGUUAAAACACUCCAAAUGUUUUAAACACUAAAAUAAGAGAUAUGCUUAUUUUUUAUGAUUAAUUUUAUUUACUUAAGUUGUAAUGUAUUGAUAUUUGAAUUGUUUAAAUCUAAAAUUAUAAAAUAUAAUGUAUUGAUAUCAUAAUAUGUUGUAUUAAAAAAAUGAAUAUGAAAAAAUGAAAUGAAGAAAAUGACAGUUUAUAUAGACAAAGAUGGGAUAAAGUUAUGAAAACAAAAUAAAAUGUGAAAAUGACGUAGAACUACUUUCAUUAGAAACGUGAAACCUAUUAGAUGGAUACAUGGGUAGAGAGGUAAGUUUGCUUUGA
RNAcentral lists this long non-coding RNA (437 nucleotides) under Lathyrus oleraceus (garden pea). RNAcentral describes it as "Pisum sativum (pea) long non-coding RNA (PSAT_LNC025238)". The record is from RNAcentral. Lineage: Eukaryota; Viridiplantae; Streptophyta; Magnoliopsida; Fabales; Fabaceae.